This 484-nucleotide ribosomal RNA is filed under the name uncultured bacterium. RNAcentral's name for it is "partial 16S ribosomal RNA". It matches the Rfam family "Bacterial small subunit ribosomal RNA", at positions 30 to 507 of the family's 1533-position model. The record is from RNAcentral.
AUUGAACGCUGGCGGCAGGCCUAACACAUGCAAGUCGUGCGGAUGAAGGGAGCUUGCUCCUGGAUUCAGCGGCGGACGGGUGAGUAAUGCCUAGGAAUCUGCCUGGUAGUGGGGGAUAACGUCCGGAAACGGGCGCUAAUACCGCAUACGUCCUGAGGGAGAAAGUGGGGGAUCUUCGGACCUCACGCUAUCAGAUGAGCCUAGGUCGGAUUAGCUAGUUGGUGGGGUAAAGGCCUACCAAGGCGACGAUCCGUAACUGGUCUGAGAGGAUGAUCAGUCACACUGGAACUGAGACACGGUCCAGGCUCCUACGGGAGGCAGCAGUGGGGAAUAUUGGACAAUGGGCGAAAGCCUGAUCCAGCCACGCCGCGUGUGUGAAGAAGGUCUUCGGAUUGUAAAGCACUUUAAGUUGGGAGGAAGGGCAGUAAGUUAAUACCUUGCUGUUUUGACGUUACCAACAGAAUAAGCACCGGCUAACUUCGUG